AAAUAUUAAACGAAUUUUUUUUUUUAAGUAAACAAAAAUGGAAUAUAUUACUAUGAACACCGUUAUUGUUGAAGCACAAGACGUGCCAUAACAAUUAUGAAAAGAUCAAAAUUCUGUCAAAAUUACAUCAAAGUCAAUCGAUACCCAUACAUAAAAGCGGGCUCGACCACCAAUUAUGUGUAACCAAAAAUUAAAGACUUGUUGUGAAUUCGUGACAAAAAUCAAACCAAUGAAUAACAAUGAUGUGUGGAGCAAAGGAAGUGGUAAUCAAUGUGUAAAGUGUCUCCAAACAACAACAACAAAAACAGACCUAAAUCUAAGUGUAGAACAACACCACAAACAUAAUCAAAACAAUAGAGAUAAGCAAUGAAAGAAAGGAACAAACACACUGAGAUUGUUGACCUAGUUCGGUCCAAUAUGACCUAAUCUGGGGGAGAGAGCAGCUCUCCAACCCACUAUGAUGAAAGUGUUACAAAAAAUUUACAAGAAAAUAGCUUGCAAGCAUACACAAGAACAAGACCUAAUUUCUACUCAUUUUGUGUCAGCCACUCUCAGAAUAUGAACCCUAAAGAGAAAACACAAAAGGAAGCUUAUGAUCCUUCCAAUGGUGAAAUCUCACUACCUAAGGUGUUUACAAAGUUUCCCAAUCCAAGAGAUCCUCACUACAAAGACACUCAACCCUAAAGUUACCUCCUCUGUAAUCCAAGUUUCUCUUACUUCAAGCUCUCCUUCAAAAUCUGCACAAGAACACUUAUAUAGCAGUCUUCAGUAGAUAAAAAUCGUGUCACGUUUUCCAAAUCGUGACACGAUUGGUGCGCACAACCCAAGGUGCGACCAACCUUAUCCUGAAAACGUACCCAACAAGUUUGAAAAUCGUGUCACAUUUUCACAAAAUCGUGCCACGAUUGGUCACCCCUGCAAACCAGCUCACGACAUUGCAAAAUCGUGUCACGAUUUCUCUGUUCUUCCAAACCACAAAUUUGAAGCCAAUUUUCAACAUUUCUCCACCUUGACUACUAAUUGGUGGUGAUGUUAGUUUACCCAUCAACCACCUUGCUGCUUUCUCCAAAAGGGAAUUACUCUUCAACGAACUUGAUCAAUUUCAAGCAAUGCUUGAACCUUGAUCUAGGCAAUGAUUUGGUAAACACAUCCGUCGGAUUCUCUUUCGAUGCCACCUUUACCACCACGAUAUCUUUUGAUUUAACCAUGUCUCUGACAAAGUGCAAGCGAAUGUCAAUGUGCUUUGUCCUCUCAUGAUACACUUGAUCCGAUAGAGAUUUUCUUGUGUCCACAUUACCCGCAUAGUCCGCAUCAACAUACCCCCUCCAAAGCGUCUUCCUCUUGUGUACUUCAAACCGCCCUUCAAAGACCCAUUCAAAUACCUCAACACCCACUUCAAAGCUUGCCAAUGCACAAUACCCAGAUUUGCCAUAAACCGACUUACAAUGCUAACCGCAUAAGCUAAGUCUGGUCUACUACAAAACUUUCCAUACAUGAUGCUUCCAGCCCCACUUGCACAGGGAGUACCUUCCAUCAAUUGUUUCUCAUCCUCGCAUUGAGGACAUUGUUUUAUGGACAACUUUGUGUGGUGGCCCAAGGGAGUGCUCACGGUUUUAGAGUUAGACAUUCUAAACCGCUCCACCACCUUCUUCAAAUAACUAAGUUGAGAUAAGAAAAGUUCGCCUUUGUCACGAUUCCUCAAGAUAUCAAUUCCAAGAACUCUCUUUCCCGGACAAAGAUCUUUCAUCUCAAAUUCACCAUUUAACUUUUCUUUGAGCUUCUUAAUCUCAUCCUUCCUAGAGCUUGCCAUCAAGAUAUCAUCCACAUAUAAAAGAAGGUAGAGAAUGACUUUCUCACCCUUCUUCAACAUGUACACACAAGAAUCUUAUCCGCUUCUCACAAAACCGGGCUUCAAAAGAAAUUCAUCAAACUGAUGAUACCAUUGCCCAGGGAUUUGCUUCAACCCAUACAAAGAUUUCUUUAAAAGACAUACCUUAGACUUGUCUUUCACAAAACCUUCCGGUUGCUCCAUGUAUUGUCUCUUCAAGGUCACCAUGUAAGAAAGCAGUCUUCACAUCCAUUUGUUCAAACUCAAGAUUGAAUUGAUUCACAAUAACCAUAAGUAUCGUUAUGGAACAAUGUUUCACCACCGGUGAGAAGAUCUCAUUGUAGUCAAUCCCCUCCACUUGAGUGAAACCCUUGGCCAUAAGUAUUGCUUUGUACCUUGGACCUUCAACACCCGGAAUACCUUUCUUUUUCUUGAAGAUCCACUUGCAUCCAACUACCCUUUGGUGUUUAGGUAGCUUCACAAGUUUCCAAGUUCGGUUCUUUUCCAAUGAAUCCAUCUCUUCAUUCACCGCAUUUAACCAAUACUUACCCUCUUUGCUAUCAAAUGCCUCUUUGAAGUUUCUAGGCUCCGAGUCUUGCACAUCUUCAGCCGCAUUUAGAGCAAAACAAACCAAGUCCGCAUAACCAUAUCUACUAGGAGCCGUAAUGGUCCUCCUUUCUCUAUCUCUAGCCAAGAGAGAAUCAGGAUCCACUACCGGUUGAGUUCCACUUGUAUCUGAUGUCGAAGCUUCAUCUUCUACAUCAUCUUCUUCUUCACUUGGAAGCUCCACCUCAAACUGAGUUUCCUCCACCAUUGUUUCCGGUACCAAAGUCUCUAGGUCUUUACACUUCAUCCCUAUACGGGUCUCAUCAAAGGUAAUAUCCCUACUAAUCAAGACUUUUGAUCCUCCACUAGAUUCCAAUUUCCACAACUUGUAACCCUUCACACCUUCUGGAUAACGAAUAAAGACACAUUUCAAAGCUCUAGUCUCAAGCUUGUCUUUCUUGAUAUGCGCAUAUGCCAAAGCUCCGAAAACCUUCAAAGAUGAGUAGUCUGCCGGUUUCCCAUUCCAUACUUCCAUAGGUGUCUUGAAGUCUAUUGUCGUUGAUGGACAUCUAUUGAUCAAAUAAGCAGUAGUUGUCACUAGUUCACCCCAGAAACUCUUAGGAAGCCCAACUCCUAGAAUCAUACACCUCACACGCUCCAAAAGGGUCAUAUUCAUGCAUUCAGCAAGACCAUUUUGUUGCGGUGUUCUCGGUACGGUCAUAUGCCUCUUGAUUCCUUUUAACGUGCAAAACUCAUUAAAUUGCUCUGAAAUAAACUCCAAGCCAUUGUCAGUUCUUAACCCUUUUAGAUUAGUUCCCAUUUGAUUUUCUAUAAGAGUGUGCCAUUCCUUAAACUUCUCAAAUGUGUCACUUUUGUUUUUCAAAACAAAGACCCAAACUCUUCUAGAAUAAUCAUCAAUGAUGGAAAGAAAAUAGGAACAUCCCUCAUGAGUAAGAGUCUUGGAAGGACCCCAAAGGUCCGAAUGAACAUACUCAAAAGGCCUACUAGAAUGAUGCAUACCACUACCAAACUUUACUCUAUGUUGCUUGCCUAGUAUGCAAUGCUCACAAAAUUCUAACUUGUCCAAUUUAUCUUUUUUUAGCAAAUCUUGUUUAGCUAGUUCAACUAAACCUCUUUCACUAACAUGCCCCAAUCUCAAAUGCCACAAUUCAGAAUUAUUGAGAUACAACACUAGCCACCGAUGCAUUACCAAUUACUAUGGAACCAUCUAAAAUGUAUAAACCAUUCAUUUUAGACCCUAACCGUAAUCAAUGCAUCAUGCUCAAUUUUACAAACCCCAUGCUCAAUUCUAGUGCAAUAACCUAGACUAUCAAACAUGCUUAGGGAAAUUAAAUUUUGCUUAAGUGCGGGAACCAACCUCACAUCCCUUAAAAGGAUUUCACGGCCAUCAAACAUCUUUAUACGAACGUUGCUCGUGCCUUGGACUUUGCACACUUUGUUAUUUCCGAGUCGAACAACUCCUCCUUAAUUUAGAGCCAAAUCAAAAUAUUCCUUCCUAGGACACAUGCGAUAAGAGCAUCCUGAGUCCAAAAACCGACUCUUCUCCAGUUCCCAACUUGUGACCACUAGUGCACCCGCACUCUCAUAACCAUCUUCAUUUGAUGCCUCCGCAACUUGAACGGACGGACUACCAUCACCCCCUUUAUCCGGACAAUCCUUCUUGAAGUGACCUUGCUUAUGACAAAGAAAACACUUAUACUUUUAUUUGUCAAAGCCUUUGGACCUAGACCUGGACCUCGACUUCCCCUUGCCUUUUCCUCUAUGCUCAUUCCUUCCUCUUGCAACAUUCAAGCCUUCACCACCUUCAUCAACCUUCAAGUCCUUGAACUUGGUCAAUUGUUUGGUUCUCAAAGCCGCUUGGACUUCCUCCAAAGUAGUAGUGCCCUCCUUACCAUAAAGGAUGGUAUCCUUGAAAUGCUCAAAAGACUUUGGUAAUGAACAAAGUAACAACAAAGCCUUAUCCUCAUCUUCCAUAUUAACUUCAAUGUUGGCCAAAUCAUCAAAAAAUUUGUUAAAUUCCGCCAAUGUUGGCCGAAGUUUUUUUUUUUUUUAAGAAACAAAAAUGGAAUAUAUUACUAUGAACACCGUUAUUGUUGAAGCACAAGACGUGCCAUAACAAUCAAGAAAAGAACAAAACCCUGCCAAAAUUACAUCAGAGUCAAUCGAUACCCAUACAUAAAAGCGGACUCAACCACCAAUUAUGUGUACCAAAAUUAAAGACUUGUUGUGAAUUUAUGACAAAAAUCACACCAAUGAAUAACAAUGAUGUGUGGAGCAAAGGAAGUGGUAAUCAAUGUGUAAAGUGUCUCCAAGAAACAACAACAAUAACAGACCUAAAUCUAAGUGUAGAGCAACACCACAAACAUAAUCAAAACAAUAGAGAUAAGCAAUGAAAGAAAGGAACAAACACACCGAGAUUGUUGACCCAGUUCGGUCCAAUAUGACCUAAUUUGGGGGAGGGAGCAGCUCUCCA
Molecule: long non-coding RNA, 4868 nt
Filed under: Medicago truncatula (barrel medic)
Lineage: Eukaryota; Viridiplantae; Streptophyta; Magnoliopsida; Fabales; Fabaceae
Description: long non-coding RNA (MTRU_LNC001456)
Source: RNAcentral